CCCUUUUCUACGGAAUAACGCAGGGAAACUUGUGCUAAUACCGUAUAAGCCCUUUGGGGGAAAGAUUUAUCGGGAAAGGAUGAGCCCGCGUUGGAUUAGCUAGUUGGUGGGGUAAAGGCCUACCAAGGCGACGAUCCAUAGCUGGUCUGAGAGGAUGAUCAGCCACAUUGGGACUGAGACACGGCCCAAACUCCUACGGGAGGCAGCAGUGGGGAAUAUUGGACAAUGGGCGCAAGCCUGAUCCAGCCAUGCCGCGUGAGUGAUGAAGGCCCUAGGGUUGUAAAGCUCUUUCACCGGUGAAGAUAAUGACGGUAACCGGAGAAGAAGCCCCGGCUAACUUCGUGCCAGCAGCCGCGGUAAUACGAAGGGGGCUAGCGUUGUUCGGAAUUACUGGGCGUAAAGCGCACGUAGGCGGACAUUUAAGUCAGGGGUGAAAUCCCGGGGCUCGACCCCGGAACUGCCUUUGAUACUGGGUGUCUAGAGUAUGGAAGAGGUGAGUGGA
RNAcentral lists this ribosomal RNA (502 nucleotides) under uncultured Rhizobium sp. Its description in RNAcentral is "bacterial SSU rRNA". It matches the Rfam family "Bacterial small subunit ribosomal RNA", at positions 129 to 665 of the family's 1533-position model. The record is from RNAcentral. Lineage: Bacteria; Pseudomonadati; Pseudomonadota; Alphaproteobacteria; Hyphomicrobiales; Rhizobiaceae.